UUCUAUUAUUACAUUUUGCUAACAAAUCCCAGCGAAUCAAAUUAGGCCCUUACCGGACAAAGGAGGUGAUGGGGAUUACUGUUCUGAAAUCCCACGGCAUAUCCACGGGCCCGAGUUGGUAUUGGCUCGGCAUCAUUGGGCUGAUUGGCUUCACGGUUCUGCUAACAUCCUCUGCAUAUUGGCUGAGCUAACACUCUUGAAGGGUUUAGUCGAGGAGAUCAUGGACUUAGUCGAGCCAACACCCCCGAGGGAUGUAAUUGUUAGGUUCCUGAUUUACGCGAGCUUUCCUUGGAGCAGAGGUAGAGGCUCAUUACUGGAGUUGAGUUUGUUGCAAAUCUGUCGAUGAUCUUCAUGCAUGAGCCGAUUUGAGGCCUAGACACUCGAGCAGCUGCAAUUGUAACGAGAACCAUAAGAAGCAAAGUAGAUACAGGAAGGACUGUUGUAUGCACAAUCCAUCAGCCAAGCCUCGAGAUAUUUGAGUCCUCUGAUGAGUUGCUCCUCUUAACCUGAGGCAUCGAAGAAAUAUAUGUUGUCCCCUUUGGGGCAACAACCACUGUUCGGAGAUGACAGAGUAUUUUGAGGAGAAAUAAAGCAAUGAUCGAAGAACUGAGAACACCCUCAUCUGGUUCUCAGAGCUUCACUUCCGUACGAAAUACUCGCAAUCAUUUGUUUCUCAAUUUAAAGCUUGCCCGUGGAAGCAGCAUAAGUCCCUACUGGAGAAAAACUUUCGUGCAUUUCCAUUCCACCAGAUUAGCCUUCACCCAACACUAGCCCUGAUUUUCGGGAUCCUGUUCUCGGAUCUUGAUUUUAAGAGGUGUGCCUGUUGUGAUUUCUGAAAGGGCUGCUUACUACUGAGAGAGGGGCGCUGGAAUCUACAUUGCUUUGCCGCAUUCCCUUGCACAAUUACUUCGUUUUCUUUUUCCCACCUGCAAAAAUUACCGAGGAGGACAGCCAACCCAAGUACGUCAUUAUUUCUUAGAAUAUUUAAUUUUGGUGCGGCAUUUUUUUCAUUUUCUUUUUCUUUCUUUCACAUAUGUACAGGUUGUCAUAGAAAACCCGUAUACUCUGAUUCAAGCUAUGAUAUGCAGGAUCAUAGAGUAUGCGAUGAUUGGAUCCAAAUGGACUGCGAGGAAUUUCUUCUCAGACUUGUUUUUCAUCUCGCCAUCCUUUCUUAACAUCUACGGGGAUGAUGUUCAAUAACUGCAAGUCCAAAGCGAGCAACUGCUGCUGUAUUAUAUGGUCUCAUCUACACAAUGUGGAGUCCCUUCUCGGCUUCGUGAUCCCUCUAGAGUUGAAUUAUGUCUCACCUCCUCGCAUUUGUUCUUGUUCUUCAGCGCUUGUCAUUAGACUAGAAACAGUCAGAGCAGGUCAUCUACUGAAAAGCAUCUCGGUUUUUUUCAUAAACAAA
Non-coding RNA from Punica granatum (pomegranate), 1408 nucleotides. The record is from RefSeq and is a predicted model, not a curated record. NCBI's taxonomy places the organism in Eukaryota, Viridiplantae, Streptophyta, Magnoliopsida, Myrtales, Lythraceae.